Molecule: non-coding RNA, 398 nt
Organism: Dermacentor andersoni
Lineage: Eukaryota; Metazoa; Arthropoda; Arachnida; Ixodida; Ixodidae
Source: RefSeq, a predicted model, not a curated record
GUGCCCCUGGAAUUCAAAAACGUAUUCAGCGUCCUGACAGGCAAAGACAUCACAUUAGGAAUUGCGAAAAGGGUUGCAAAGCGACUUCGAGUUCAACAACUUGAUACCACCCGGCUAACACCGAGACAUUCUUAGAAGACCUGUCGCACGUGUCUGAGCUUUUGGGUGAAUCUUCAGUUUUAUUCUUUACCUCUUCCUCUACAUCUCGUAACUUUCAAUGGCUUUACAUACCCCACCCCUUAAUUGAGAGCAGGACAGCCAGCCGGAGAAUGCACUGGCUAACCUGCACGUCACUCCUCCCAAUUUUUGCCUUUUACCCUCCUGGAUGUAUGCGCUUUGUUAAGACGAACGACACUGUACGAAGAUGUGCCCAAUGCGCAAUAAAUAUAAGAAUGGUG